UACGUAGGGGGCAAGCGUUGUCCGGAAUCAUUGGGCGUAAAGCGCGUGUAGGCGGUUCGGUAAGUCCGCUGUGAAAGUCGGGGGCUCAACCCUCGGAUGCCGGUGGAUACUGUCGGGCUUGAGUACGGAAGAGGCGAGUGGAAUUCCUGGUGUAGCGGUGAAAUGCGCAGAUAUCAGGAGGAACACCAAUGGCGAAGGCAGCUCGCUGGGACGGUACUGACGCUGAGACGCGAAAGCGUGGGGAGCGAUCCGG
Molecule: ribosomal RNA, 253 nt
Filed under: uncultured bacterium
Lineage: Bacteria
Description: partial 16S ribosomal RNA
Rfam family: Bacterial small subunit ribosomal RNA
Source: RNAcentral